AAAGGGACAGAAAAGAAGUUCCCCUCAAAAAACAAAGGCAUACAUUUCAUAUUAGAAUUUUUUGUUUGGUCAAUCUUUCAAGUGCUUAACUUGUUCCCAAAGCGACACUCGAGUUCAAUCUGUUUACGGUAUAAGACCUUAGGAUCUUUAGAAAAGCUGAUUCGGAUUGCUGAUUGGUCCAGUGCUGUGGGAGAUUCCAUAUUUGAGAAACUUCUUAAAUGGUUAUAGUAAUCUAACCACCAGGCAAAAGAAAGGUGUUG
This 260-nucleotide long non-coding RNA is filed under the name Amborella trichopoda. Its description in RNAcentral is "long non-coding RNA (ATRI_LNC003559)". The record is from RNAcentral. Lineage: Eukaryota; Viridiplantae; Streptophyta; Magnoliopsida; Amborellales; Amborellaceae.